RNAcentral lists this ribosomal RNA (110 nucleotides) under Sordariomycetidae sp. RNAcentral describes it as "partial small subunit ribosomal RNA". It matches the Rfam family "Eukaryotic small subunit ribosomal RNA", at positions 1639 to 1746 of the family's 1831-position model. The record is from RNAcentral. Lineage: Eukaryota; Fungi; Ascomycota; Sordariomycetes.
CGUUGAUUACGUCCCUGCCCUUUGUACACACCGCCCGUCGCUACUACCGAUUGAAUGGCUCAGUGAGGCUUUCGGACUGGCCCAGAGAGGUCGGCAACGACCACUCAGGG